This is a non-coding RNA of Macaca mulatta (Rhesus monkey), 3367 nucleotides long. The record is from RefSeq and is a predicted model, not a curated record. NCBI's taxonomy places the organism in Eukaryota, Metazoa, Chordata, Mammalia, Primates, Cercopithecidae.
GGCUAUUUCAGGAACUAAUAUUUCUUGUGAAAAAAACAUUUAUCUGAUGUUCAGAAAUUCCAUGUCAAUUCCUUGAGUUUCCUAUUAUCCUAGUAAAACUUUCAGUUAAAUUAAAUUUACUACAUUUUAGCUAAAAUGCUACAUAUGGUAUGAUUCGAUCCUGGUGAAAUUAUUUCUCUCUCUAUCUCUUUGUGCCCAUCCAUCUACUCCUCUCUACCCAUAUACACACAAAGACAUGACCAAAAUGGUUACCACAGAUUUUUAAUGAUGAUUCCUUUCGGGUAAUAUGAAUAGGGUGAUUUUUUCCUCAAUCAAAUUUUUUAUUUUACAAGCUGGGUGCAGUGGUGCAGGUCCAUAAUCCCAGCUACUUGGAAGGCGGAGGCUGGAGGAUUGUCUGAGCCCAGGAGUCCAAGACCAGCAUAGCCAACAUACCAAGACCCCAUCUCAAAAGGAAAUCUUUAAAACUAGCUAUUUACAUGUAAAUACAAAAGGUAAUUAAUUUUAAAAACUGAAUAGCAAGCACAAACUCAGCUGGGUAAGUAAAGAACAAUAUGUGACAUCUCCAGGAAAAGGUAAAUGGAAUAGUCCCGUGGUCAUGAUCUGGUUCCAGCUUCCCUAAGGAUUUGCACGAGCCCUUUGGGGGAGGUCAGUGGUCAAGGUCAUGACUGAGUCUUGGAGAACCUGGGGCUUCCCAUACUAGGGGGAUCUGGUGGCACUGAAGUUUGGGCCAAGGACUAGCAUGUAGCCAGGACACUGUAUGGUGCAGGGUGGGGGAAGGAAGAGAGGGUGGUCUAUUUUGUUUCUGAACUCUCUAUGGACAAUUUCCAGUUCAUGUCCUCAGCUACUAUGCAUGUGAGCUUUCAGAACAGUAAGAAGCAUCUACUAGAAACCAAAUAGGAUCUCAGAAAACAAUACUGUCUAACUACCAAGGUUAUUUUGUGAUGGGCCAGAAGAAUCAGUAUGUUCUGAUAUCAGGAAGGCAUGCAGCAGAGCUUCUCUCACAGACCUGUGGAUAAUUUAGAGAACUCUCAAUGAAGGGUAGUCAGGGAGGCUGCAAUAGCACCCAGUGUUGACGCUGUCCUCAUCAGCAUUCCCACUGACAAUUUGGAUGAGGACAUGGACAGCAUGCUGAUCAAACCUGAGAGGACAGAUGUCACAGUCCAUCUUAAGAGAUUCUUCAGGCAAAGACUUUGGAGCUUUAGUUGGCUUGUCUCCAUAUUAACCAAUCGUGUGAUAUUGCUCCAACAAGUCAUUGCUUGGAGAUCCCCACACUGUUCUCACUUGGGCUUUGUGGAACAUAUUGUUUCUUCUGCUAGCUAUCCUUCACCUUCUUUAUUAAGGUAUGGCUUUCUCAAAACUCAGGUGUCAUCCUCGAUGUCAGAAAAGCUGCCACUUCCCCAACUACACCUCUGUGCCUUCUAAACAAUUAGUUCAAACCUACCAUAACUUUUACCAAAGUGCUGUAUAAACAUGUAUCUUCUUUGUCUGUCUUUGCAACUAAACCCUAAGCUCCUGUUCUGAGCCCUCUGUAUCCCCAUCACUGAGAAGACUGCCCAGACAUAAAUGCUUGAUAAAUAGAAGAAUGGAUGAAGUACAAUGGACUUUCCAGCUAGAGCAGCAAAACCUAGGGACAAAUAAAUGGACAAAGAUCUGUGACUAUAUCCUCUCUAGAUCCAACCUCUGAAUGUUCAGUAACCUCAGCACUAAUUUAAAGCUUAGGGAACCCAGGAUUGCAGAUGCUUCUGCGUUUUCUAAGCAGAACUCAAGCUCAUAAGCUCAGUUUGCUCACUGGUGAAGUGGGCAGAUUGGACUGACAGCUCUAGCUUACAGCUCUGCAACUGCCAUCUUGAAAUUAUUAGUUUUUGAAAAAGGAGCCCCACAUGGUCCUUUUGCACUGGGGCCUGCAAAUUAUGUAGCUAGUUCUGUUCACCUAUGAGUGUAAAAGAAUCCAUUUUAUUUUUAUUAUAAGCAAAAACCAUUUAAUAAAUAUUCAAACCUAUGGCAACUUGCAUUCUCAUCUUCACAAUUCAUUGAACAAAUACAGGUCCAUGUUUUGCAUAGUUGUCAUCAGAAAAUACAUACUAUUUAGCCCCUUUGCCACUUAUUAUUUUGCAUGUACGCAUUUGUCCAUGCCUUGAUGUAGUUCCCAUAUUUGUCAUUCUUAAUCGCUCUAUCACGUUCUAGAGUGCAAAUAGACCAUGAGUUUUAAACCAAACCCCAAUGGUUGGGCAUCUGGGUUGCUUCCAAUUUUUAAAAAUAGCAUUUCUAAGAACAACUAAAUACAAAUUACUUUCUUUUUUCUCUUUUGGGGAAUUUCCUUGGAGUAUAUUCUCAGAAGUGGAAUUCUCAGGUCAAAAGGCCAUACCAUAAUCCCAGGGUGGGCACUAUUGCUUGUGCACAUUUUACCAGUGAGAAAACCGGGAUCUGAAAGAUGACAUCACCAAAGAGCCCAUGUGUGGCCUACUUCAGACAGGCAUUUCGCAGCACAGCCACGAAGCCAAUCCUGCCGUGAGAACUCCCGCUCUUCCCCGCUGAUGAGGAUGACCAUGGUAACGAGAUGAAGACGAACAUGACAAAACUGGUAAAGAUAAGGUAGAUGCCUUAUAUCUGUAUCUUCUAUCAUUUGCAAUGCCCUUCCACGGGCGGACUCUCAUUUUAACUUUGGAACAACUCCAUGAGGUCCCUGCGAUCCUUAUCAGCCUCUGGUUUUUAGAAGAGGAAAGUGAGCUUCAGAAGUGAAGUGACUUUAUCUAAUGACACAAAACAAUCAUAUGACUGGGGCAGGAUUGAGGAUAUCUUCCGAUGGCAAUUUCAAGCUGGAAUUUCAGAAAAAGGAGGCCGAUUAGUUCCCUUUUCUCACUGGGGUCCAGAUCUGGAAAACACUGUCUAGAUGUGUGGACGGAUGGAUGCUCAAGUACUGCUACUCUGACCAGUUAUUUUGGAGAUGGUUGAAAGGUGAGGUGAGACAACAACCUCUCUCUACUGUCGCAUCAUGAGGUCCUAUUGAAAAAAAGAACUUUUCUUUGGUUCUAAACCUAUAUGCAGACCACGGGGAAGGAGCUCUCACACAUACAUGUACACUCUGCAUGCUGACCUGUGGAGAGGAGGCAUCUAGCCUCUUAUUCUUGUCUCCAUCACCACUGCUAAGGAUGUCUACCCAUUAUCCCAAAGACAGGGCUCUCCCAGGUAUACUGCUUGCCCCAUGUGAAAGGAAAAUAAAUCUUGGGCCCCCAAAAUUACUAAGCUAAAAGGAAAAAAUCAAGAUGGGAACCGCUUAGGGCAAACUUGCGCCCCAUUCUAUUCAAAGUCAUCCCCCUUCUCACUGAGAUAAAUGCAUAUCUGAUUGCUUCCUUUGAAAAGGCUGAUC